CCUUUGUUGGAAUUUUCUGGAAG
Molecule: non-coding RNA, 23 nt
Filed under: Cricetulus griseus (Chinese hamster)
Lineage: Eukaryota; Metazoa; Chordata; Mammalia; Rodentia; Cricetidae
Source: RNAcentral